GUGCUUGCUUUGGAAGCACAUAUGCUAAAAUUGGAAUGACACAGAAAAGAUUAGCAGGGCCCCUGUAAAAAAAAAAAAAGAAAGAAGAAGCAGUUAGUAUUUGU
This is a small nuclear RNA of Callithrix jacchus (white-tufted-ear marmoset), 104 nucleotides long. The record is from Ensembl. NCBI's taxonomy places the organism in Eukaryota, Metazoa, Chordata, Mammalia, Primates, Cebidae.